Molecule: long non-coding RNA, 726 nt
Organism: Solanum pennellii
Lineage: Eukaryota; Viridiplantae; Streptophyta; Magnoliopsida; Solanales; Solanaceae
Exons: 2
Source: RefSeq, a predicted model, not a curated record
CCACCUCUACUACAACAAACAAAAACAAAAAAUAACAAAAAUAAUCCUUAUUAAACGUAUCUAUCUUUAACCUAUCUGAAAAUAAGACAGAUUACCUAUCGAAACUUCACAAUGAGUCCAUCAUCAACAUCAAUUUCUCUUGUUGUUAUUCUAAUUAUUAUCUCCUCCUUAUCGUUUUCGAAUUCGUCUUCAUUGAAACCCGUGCAUAGUUUAGAAGCUAAUCAAGUUAAAUGUAGAGAUAUAAAUAGACAUAUGAAAUCUUGUAUAGAAUGGACAAUAAGUGGUUACAAGAAUAGUAAGGUUCCUCCAAAGGCUUGUUGCAAUCAAAUAUUUAAACUUAAUACUAUGGGAAAAGACUCACAAGCAGAAGUAGCUAUUUGUGAAUGUAUUAAGGCAGGAUUACAAGAUCCACAUAUCAAUGCAAAAGCAGCUGAAUCACUUACUUGGGGUUGUCAAGUUCUCUUGUCUUUCCCUACCACACCAAAAGUCAAUUGUUCUGAGAUAACCGCUCCAAAUACCAAAUUUUGAGGCUUGGAGUGAUUAAUUUGGAGAAACAACAAGAUGUAAUAUUUUAUAUUACAAAUAGAGUUUAGUAUAUGUAGAUUGAUUUGUCUAUAGGAUACAUAAUGUCCUAGACAAUCAUUAUAGGAUCUAUGGAGUAUUCGGUUAGGACUUUGUAUUAGUUGUAAAAAAAUUCAAUAAACUUUGUGUGUUUACAUAUUUCAA